UGGGGAAUAUUGCACAAUGGGGGAAACCCUGAUGCAGCGACGCCGCGUGAGCGAAGAAGGCUUUCGAGUCGUAAAGCUCUGUCCUAUGAGAAGAUAAUGACGGUAUCAUAGGAGGAAGCCCUGGCUAAAUACGUGCCAGCAGCCGCGGUAAUACGUAUGGGGCGAGCGUUGUCCGGAAUUAUUGGGUUUAAAGGGAGCGUAGGCCGUUUGGUAAGCGUGUUGUGAAAUGUAGGAGCUCAACUUCUAGAUUGCAGCGCGAACUGUCAGACUUGAGUGCGCACAACGUAGGCGGAAUUCAUGGUGUAGCGGUGAAAUGCUUAGAUAUCAUGAAGAACUCCGAUUGCGAAGGCAGCUUACGGGAGCGCAACUGACGCUGAAGCUCGAAGGUGCGGGUAUCGAACAGG
Molecule: ribosomal RNA, 404 nt
Filed under: Verrucomicrobiota bacterium
Lineage: Bacteria; Pseudomonadati; Verrucomicrobiota
Description: Verrucomicrobia bacterium partial 16S ribosomal RNA
Rfam family: Bacterial small subunit ribosomal RNA
Source: RNAcentral